Molecule: ribosomal RNA, 1754 nt
Filed under: human gut metagenome
Description: bacterial LSU rRNA
Rfam family: Bacterial large subunit ribosomal RNA
Source: RNAcentral
CCUAAGUAGCGGCGAGCGAACGGGAAACAGCCUAAACCACAAUUGUUACGGCAACUGUGGGGUUGUAGGACUGCAAUAUUCAAAUGACUGUGAACUGGAAUGUUCUGGAAAGUUCAUCCAUAGAGAGUGAAAGACUCGUACAGGCAAGCACGUCAGGCGAUAGCAGUAUCCUGAGUAGGGCGGGACACGAGGAAUCCUGUCUGAAUCCGCCGGGACCACCCGGUAAGGCUAAAUACUCCCAAGAGACCGAUAGUGAACCAGUACCGUGAGGGAAAGGUGAAAAGAACCCCGAACAGGGGAGUGAAAUAGAACCUGAAACCAUACGCUUACAACCUGUCGGAGCGGCUUCGUGCCGUGACGGCGUGCCUAUUGAAUAAUGAGCCUACGAGUUACUAAUCACUGGCAAGGUUAAGUGCACGGAUGCACGGAGCCGAAGCGAAAGCGAGUCUGAAUAGGGCGUUUAGUCAGUGGUUGUAGACGCGAAACCUUGCGAUCUACCCUUGAGCAGGUUGAAGGUUGGGUAAAACCAACUGGAGGACCGAACGAAUAAGCGUUGAAAAGCUUCUCGAUGACUUGAGGGUAGGGGUGAAAGGCUAAUCAAGCUGGGAAAUAGCUCGUACUCCCCGAAAUGCCUUUUGGGGCAGCGUUGUAAUAAAGAGUCUACUGGAGGUAGAGCUACUGAUUGGAUGCGGGGGCUUCACCGCCUACCAAAUCCUGACAAACUCCGAAUGCCAGUAGUAUGAUUUACAGCAGUGAGCGACCGGGUGCUAAUGUCCGGUUACGAGAGUGGAACAACACAGACCAGCAACUAAGGUCCCCAAGAGUAUACUAAGUUGAUCUAACGAUGUUUUGCUGCAGAGACAGCUAGGAUGUUAGCUUGGAAGCAGCUAUUCAUUCAAAGAGUGCGUAACAGCUCACUAGUCGAGCGGCAAAGCGUGGAUAAUAAACGGGCAUCAAGUAUACCACCGAAGUUCUGGGCACGAAAGUGCGGUAGGGGAGCAUUCCAUUCCGCGUUGAAGCCGAACCGUGAGGUUUGGUGGAGUGUAUGGAAAAGCAAAUGUAGGCAUGAGUAACGAUAAUGCGGGAGAGUAACCCGCACACCGCAAGACCAAGGUUUCCUGAUCAACGCUAAUCGGAUCAGGGUUAGUCGGGUCCUAAGGGUAAGCCGAACGGCGAUCUCGAUGGAUAAUCGGUUAAUAUUCCGAUACUAACAUAUACCUCGAUGGAGAGACGAAGGAACGUAAGUGCCGCCACCUGACGGAAUAGGUGGUUAAAGGGCUUAGGUAUAGGGGCAGAUUAAGAGUUAGUCCUUGCUGAAACCUGACAGUACAGAGAGCCUACGGGCAAUUUGAUAGUGCACCCAAGUCGACUUCCGAGAAAAUCUUCUAAGUUAUAGUAUAUGUUACCCGUACCGUAAACCGACACAGGUGGUCGAGGAGAGUAUCCUAAGGUGCUCGAGUGAAUCACGGUUAAGGAACUAGGCAAAUUAACCCCGUAACUUCGGGAAAAGGGGUCCCUAUGAAAGUAGGGCGCAGCGAAGAGGUCCAGGCGACUGUUUAUCAAAAACACAGGGCUCUGCAAAUUCGAAAGAAGACGUAUAGGGCCUGACACCUGCCCGGUGCUGGAAGGUUAAGAGGGGAUGUCAUCGCAAGAGAAGCAUUGAAUCGAAGCCCCAGUAAACGGCGGCCGUAACUAUAACGGUCCUAAGGUAGCGAAAUUCCUUGUCGGGUAAGUUCCGACCUGCACGAAUGGUG